UACAGAGGGUGCAAGCGUUGUUCGGAAUUAUUGGGCGUAAAGCGCACGUAGGCGGCGAUGCAAGUCAGAUGUGAAAGCCCAGGGCUCAACCCUGGAAGUGCAUCCGAAACGGCAUCGCUUGAGUCCCGGAGAGGGUGGUGGAAUUCCCAGUGUAGAGGUGAAAUUCGUAGAGAUUGGGAGGAACAUCAGUGGCGAAGGCGACCACCUGGACGGAGACUGACGCUGAGGUGCGAAAGCGUGGGGAGCAAACAGG
This 253-nucleotide ribosomal RNA is filed under the name uncultured bacterium. RNAcentral describes it as "partial 16S ribosomal RNA". It matches the Rfam family "Bacterial small subunit ribosomal RNA", at positions 524 to 776 of the family's 1533-position model. The record is from RNAcentral.